This 253-nucleotide ribosomal RNA is filed under the name uncultured bacterium. RNAcentral's name for it is "partial 16S ribosomal RNA". It matches the Rfam family "Bacterial small subunit ribosomal RNA", at positions 526 to 779 of the family's 1533-position model. The record is from RNAcentral.
CGGAGGGAGCUAGCGUUGUUCGGAAUUACUGGGCGUAAAGCGCACGUAGGCGGCUAUUCAAGUCAGAGGUGAAAGCCCGGGGCUCAACCCCGGAACUGCCUUUGAAACUAGGUAGCUAGAAUCUUGGAGAGGUCAGUGGAAUUCCGAGUGUAGAGGUGAAAUUCGUAGAUAUUCGGAAGAACACCAGUGGCGAAGGCGACUGACUGGACAAGUAUGACGCUGAGGUGCGAAAGCGUGGGGAGCAAACAGGAUU